GGAUAGAAAAUAUAGGCAAUGCGGAAACAUAUGUUAUGGAUAAAAAUUUAUUAAAAAACAAAGUGGUUGGCCAGAAACAUUUUGACAAAAUAUAUAUUGCAGUAAGUAAUAAGCGAAAGAGACUUUUAAAAUCAGCUGUACCAAUUUCAUGGAAAGGUAUUAUUUUUGAUAUUUUACUGUUUCCUUCCAAAUUAGUGUUAUAAAUUUACUCUAAAUUAUAGAACCGGCCUCUAGAAACACAAUUUCUUUGCCUGAUACCUCAUGUAACGCUCAAAGCCUUGAGAGUUUAGAUGCAAAAGUUUCAUCAAUAAAUUGGGAAAAUGAUACAAUUGAUACAAAUGUAUUGCCUGGCACGCAUAUUCAAGUUGAUAUUUUGCAGCAUAGUCCAAAAAAUGGUAAGUGUUUGGUAAAUUUUUCCAAAUUUGCUUUUGUUUGCAAUAAAAUCUAAAUAAGAAAUGAAUUACUUGAAUUUUAAGGAGAUAUAUUUUCUUUAAAAAUUAGUAAAAUUGGUAACACUUGAUCUAUUCUGGUCUUUGAAUAGAUCAAGCAUAUGUCAACGAGUAAGCAUAUGUGAGAAUGAUCAACCAUAAACCAUAUGUUUCUAAAUAAAGGAAGUUAAAAUUUUCUUUUAAACUUUAGUGUUUUUAAAGAAUUUGAAUAUUCUUUAGCAAUUGUCCAAAAAUAAUUCUACACCUGUUAUUUUUAGUGAUAUAGAACAAAUUUAGCUUUAACUGGCUGGUUGUAAUAUAAUGAUACAACUUAAGAGAGAGGUAUAUAAUAUUUAAUAGGGAUGAUUCCAACUACUCACUAGAAAUUACCUCGUUGAAAAAGGGUUAUUCAAAACUGCAAGUGGCCAACAUGGCGUCGACAAGAAGAAACAAAGUUGAUUAUGACUCUCUAAAGAAGGAACGUCGUAUUUAAAAGUUAAAGAUGUUAACUUGUAAAUGAGAGAAAGUGUUUACAACAAUGUAUAAAUGAUUUUAUUUUAUAUUUUCAAAUAACGCCAGAAAAAAAUAAAAAAACAUUUUGGCAAAUUUCACCUUUUUCCUGAAUAUUAGGAAGUAUUUGGCAUUUUUCUAAUUUUUAGAUUGCAUUUAUUCAAUCAUUGCAUUUAUAUUGCGCAACUUUUGCCUAAUUAAAUAUUUACUGCUCAUCCUUAUUUUGGACAUCCUGUAUAAUCGCGAUGAGACCCUUCAUACUGUUAAACAAAAUAUUUGUUUUUUUUUCUUAUUAACUUUUUCUAGUUUUAAGAAUUAGUAAUUAAGUGUUUGCCUGUAUUGCAAAUUAAAAUGUGGCCUAUUUUCUAUAUUUCAUAGUGUUGUUACACCCUUAUUGAAAACCUUUUAAAUUUUGGGAUUUUAUUUUUAUAUUAAUUUCAGUUAAAGGUAUCUAUUUUUCAAUAUUUUUGUCCAAAAAAAGUGUACUUCACAGAUCUCACUAUCCUACACAGUUUUUGAGAUAUUGGCUGGUUUCACAAGCCCGUAUUGUCAAAAAUCACAUUACGGGCUACUUUUUGCAAAAAAUUAUUGACUCUAAAAAACUAUAGUACCGUAUAUAGAUAUUAAAUCUUUAAUUAUUUAAUUUACUCUUUAUAUUUACGUGAAACCUACCUAUAUCAUCACCUUUAUUUAAUAUUUUUGUUAAUUUUCUAAUUAAUAAAUAAAAGCUUACUGAAUU
This 1677-nucleotide long non-coding RNA is filed under the name Anthonomus grandis grandis. RNAcentral's name for it is "uncharacterized LOC126733552". The record is from RNAcentral. Lineage: Eukaryota; Metazoa; Arthropoda; Insecta; Coleoptera; Curculionidae.